Molecule: long non-coding RNA, 3562 nt
Organism: Passer domesticus (house sparrow)
Lineage: Eukaryota; Metazoa; Chordata; Aves; Passeriformes; Passeridae
Exons: 4
Source: RefSeq, a predicted model, not a curated record
CAGCCACAGCCCCAGUGCCAGCCAUGGCCUGGUGCUCCACUGCUGCCCUCACAGAGCAGCCCCAGUGCCAGCCAUGGCCUGCAGUUCUGUGAAUUAUUCACCAGAGAGUAUUUCUACCACCCAUCUAGUUGUGUUUAUCCACUAAUCAUGGAAGAAAAAAUUUCCUUCCCACUCAUUGGGCUGAUUCCUGAGGCAGCAGUGCUACUCCGGCACUUGGAUGCAGCUAUUGUGUUAUCCUAUCCUGACUAACAAUAUUCCUGACUAGAAAUAGUGCACCUUGGGCUCCUUCUGAACCCAACCACAUUUCUUGGCUUCUUGGUCCUUGCAAGGGUGUCCCCUAUUCAUCCUUGCAACCACUUAAGCCAUGAGUCAAAAGCAGUAAUUUGGAUUUGCUUCUUUUCUCUCUCCAUUUUAGUUCUGAAGUUAAGAUGGAAGAUGUUUCAUGCUGGCUGUGAUGAACCUGCCUGCUUCAUUUUUCUGGUCUGGAAUUUUAAUUGCUUUCUAAAUUACUGAUGCAGAAAUCCCAGGAAGAAAAAAAAGCCUACCUUCAUUUAAGUACCUGUUGUUCAUGGCUUUGUCUACCAGCCUUUUGAGAUAUGAGAUAUGACUUUGGAUACAGAUAAAAGAAAAAGAUUUAGAAGCCACCAAACAUAGGAAUUUUAAAAAUGUAUCUAUUUCAAAAGAACUGAAAGAAGAAAUAUGCCACUGCAGAGAUUUCAUCAGGGGUUUCCAAGCUUUCCCUCUUUUCAUCUGUGUGCUCCUUUUUCUUCCAAAUCAAAAUCCACUAAAGUUUCAGGCAAUCUUUUAUUCUUCCAGUAGCAAGAGGAAAGAUUUUUUUUUUUUUUGGUGAGGGCAAAACCAAGGAACUGGAAAUAGAAGCCACAGAUUUUAAAUGUAUGUGUUCCCCCUCUUAUGAGUCUGGUGUAUCUAAAGCAGAGACAUUAGUAGUUUUCAGUGUCCUUUGAAGACCAGAGAGCUUUACACCUCUUGUUCAAGUUUCUGACACCUGCCCAUCAAUAAUACUCCCUGGCUAACUCAUGUAAUUUAUAAAAGUACUAAACAGUUGUCCAUCUAUUAAUACAAAUAGAUUUUAACCUUAAAAAACACAACCACAAUGCAACAGUACAAAGCAAUAUACUCUAACAGCAGUAACUCCUAGAGGCCCAGUACACCAGCUUUCAAAAUACCAGAAAUACAGCGAAAUGUCCCUGAAUUGAGGCCAAUUCAGAGUAGCUUUAUUUCUUUCAGUUAAGAUCCUUACUUCUGAUCAGAGAAUGCUUCAAUGAACAAAGCAGGAUAAUAACCCUGGCAAAUUCAUUGCUGUGCAGCUGCCUGCAGAACACACUACAAGCCCUGGAGACACAGCCAGCCCAUACCUGAUUAGCCAUAAAAAAAAAAAAGCCUGCUGAGUCUCCCUCAUAUGCUGAGCACUGUGGAUGAGAACACAGAACAAUGGGAUAUGCAUAUCUACAGAUCUACUUCCUAAACCAAGUGUCUCCUGUACUCACCUCCUUCCCCAUUUUUCAGCCUUUCCCACUCAAGUCUUGGAUUUACAGAUAAAGAAAAGGUUGGAGGUACAAAUGAAAAAGCCAAAGAAAGGGUGGAAAGGCAUGCAGAAGUCAGUAAUGAUGCUGAUGGGAGAAGUCUGACUCCAGUUACUUCCAGUCCUUUCAUCUUUGAACUAGAAUAUACUGAAUUUUAUGCAUGGUAUCUCAGCCAGCCUCAAAAAUCUUCAAGUCCACUUGAAAAAACCUCCUGAAUGCUACUACUAGGCAAACUACUCAGGAGAUUAGCAGAUUCUCAAAAAAAUAUUUGGAAUAUUGAAAUUAAUCUAUAAUAAACAAAAUAUUGCUUGUGUCAACACAAAAUAAGGAAGUUUGACAUUAGCCUCACAGAUAUUAAAAUUGUCAGGAGACAUUCAACUAAUUCAUCAUGGUUCUGCCCUUGGUAUAAAUUCCUGCUGAGCUGCUCAUGAAACUCUACAGUGACCACCAGGGAAACCCAGUGAGGGCUGAUGAAUCCUGCACACAAGCAGAGUCCACCAUCUCUAGCUGGGUGAUCAUACAAUUAUGCAACAAACAAUACUAUUGAUUCUGUAAAUUUGAUUUUGAGAUCUGUUAGGCAGAGUCUUAGGGCCAAAACUGAAUGACAGAACUGGCAAGGAUCUCACACUAGGGUUAUUUACCCAGUUUUCAACUUCAUCCCAAGCCAGUUUCACUGCAAGUGGCAUGAGGCAAAGCCAGGUUUUCCCUCAGCUACCCAGGAAACUCAGCACAGUACCAGAAGAUGCCAACUGACUUCACGCUACUCAGACUUAUCCCCUCCCUUCCACACAUGACUGGAGUUGAUCCAGCCAUGUACCUAAAAGGAAUAAUAUGUUUUCUUAAACCCUUAUGGUACUUGUAUGUGGCAUAUGUUUGUUUUUUCCCCAACACAGCCUUGUGCAGCAAUAUGUUGAUAAGACUUUUUUUUUUUUUGCUUUUUUUUUUUAGCCCCCCAGGAAGUUGUUGUGGUCAUAUGGUAGAGCCAGUGUAAAAUACAGGUCACUUGGGAGACCCCCAUUAUUGCACUGGAGAACAAACAGUUUAACCAAGCUGCAGCUGCUUCAAACUAUUCUGUCAGACUUUUGGCCAAAUCCAUUCUGUCUCCAGCUCCCAAAGUUAGACCAUGUCCUCUUUCCCUGGCUCUCCAAUUCAUGUGUUUUUAUGGUCUUCUUAUUGGCACAGCCUAAGGAACUUGAGUCUAUAACUCUCAGUAAUGCCAGCAACCAGUGUAACUCCAAGAGUUUUCUUGUCCAAGUGAUGAUUAAUCAGAUUUAACAAGACUGACGCAGCACUCUGCUGAACACGACACUUUGAUAAAUGCUGCUCUCACAGCAGCUUACACCAGGGGCAUUCCAAAGCACUCAGACUGAUAGGAAUUCUCCUGAUGAAUUCAAAUAUGCACUGAGUACCAGCAGAGAGCAAACACAAGGUUUUUCAUGACCCAUCUGCAUCAGAAUCUUUCUUUCUGAGGAGGGAUUUCUUUAACUGUGAUUUUCUCAACCCUCAGCUGGGUUGAAGAAGAUGUGAAGAAUGUGGCAUUGGAUUUGUGCUGCUGCUGCCCAGCUCUGCUGGUUGGAUGCAGGGCUAUUCCAGGAGCACAUUCACACAAUGGUGAUGAUAUUUACUCUAUCUCAUUCUUUUCUGCCCUCAGAAAGCAAGCCUGAGUGAGUGGGAGAUGUCAGGACAGUGCACAGAGCAAACUCAGAUAGUAAUGAAGACUGAACUUAGAGAGAAGGGGCUGCUGCUGAGACCCUCAGUGCUGAAGAAAACCCUCAAAAGCUCACUAAUUGAAGCCAAGCAGCAGUGCCACGAAAGGCCACAUCAGCCAGACUUCCUGGCACUUCAAGUGAGCUAAAUACCUGUGACUCCAGAGCAAAGGCACAAUUGCAGACUUGCAAAGAUGAAUUGUUAACAACUUGAAGAGAGUACUGGGAGGGCUACUGAAGAUAAAAAUUAUGCAGACCUGGAACUGUGACACCAGAACAUGACAAUUCCAUCCAGAACCCACAAGCCCUUCA